AGACCAAGGAUAUGGUUUCGUUGUAGAGGGGGAAGGUUCAGUUUUUCCAAGUGCACCAUGACAAUCACCGCAGUCUCUCCCUUAAUGCUUGUCACCCAAACCCUCCCAUUGUUAGAGAAAUGCAAAACCAUAACUGAACUGCGCCAGCUUCACGCCCACAUAGUCAAAUCAAACCUCGUCAACCACACAUCCACCAUAACCAAACUCAUUUCCCUUUGCUCCCACCAUGGUGGCCUAGACCAUGCUCUUUCAGUCUUUCAUCGAAUCCCGGACCCCAACCCCUUCAUCUUUUUCUCACUCAUAAAGCAAAUGACCGAGAGUUCAAGUCCAACAGAAGCUGUACUCUUCUAUGCUCGCAUGCUCUCUUCUUUGGAAAAUUUGAACGGGGUCGAGUUUUUGCUCCCUGCAUUGCUCAAAGCGUGCAGCAAGUCAUGUGCUUUAGAGGAGGGGAGGCAAGUUCAUGGCCAGAUAUUGAAAACCCAGAUGUUGUUCGAUCCGUAUGUUGCGAAUGCAUUGAUUAGGUUGUACUCGGAGCUGGGAUGCAUUGGAUUGGCACACCGGGUGUUUGAUAAAAUGGCUCAGAGAGACCAAGUUUCUUGGAAUUCACUGAUUACUGGUUAUUUGAGGGUCGGGGAGGUUGAGUUGGCUCGUGCGAUUUUUAAUGAGAUUCCGGAGAGGGACUUGGUUUCGUGUAAUGCAAUGAUUGAUGGGUAUGGGAAGAGUGGCAAGUGUGAGCUUGCUGAGGAGGUUUUUAGGACAAUGCAUCAUAAAGAUGUGGUUACUUGGACGUCAAUGGUUUCAGGGUAUGUAUUCAAUCACCGUCCGAAGGAAGCAUUGGGUUUGUUUAGGGAAAUGUUGAGUCAGGGCAUUCGGCCUGAUGCCCCGGCUCUUGUUAGUGUUCUCUCAGCCAUUGCCGACUUGGGUUUCGUUGAGGAAGGCAAAUGGGUGCAUGCUUUUAUUUGUACGAAUAAGAUUAGGUUGAAUUCAGGGUUUAUUGGAUCAGCUCUUAUGGAUAUGUAUGCUAAAUGUGGGCAUAUAGGGAAUGCUUACCAUGUCUUUGAAAACAUAGCUCAUUAUAGGAACAUUGGGGACUGGAAUUGCAUGAUCUCUGGCCUUGCUAUGCAUGGCCUAGGUCAUGAAGCGCUGGACAUUUUCCUUGACAUGAAAAUGAAAGAAAUUGAGCCUGAUGAGAUCACUUUCUUAGGACUUCUUACUGCUUGUAACCAUGGAGGUCUAGUUGAUGAAGGUAGAUACUGUUUUGAACUCAUGCAGGAGAAGUACGGACUUGUUCCUAAGAUUCAGCAUUAUGGAUGCAUUAUUGAUCUUUUAGGUAGAGCAGGGCACUUGGAGGAGGCGGUUGAUGUUAUACAGAAUAUUCCCAUAGAGGCGGAUGCUAUAGUUUGGAAGGCAAUUCUCAGCGCUUGCACGAUUCAUGGUAAUGUUGCAAUUGGGGAAAGUGCUGCCCUCAAGGCAAUAGAUUUGGCUCCAGAUGACUCAAGUUGUUACAUUCUCCUCUCGAAUCUUUAUGCCAAAGUAGGGAGAUGGGAUGAUGUGGGCAAUGUUAGAUUGAUGAUGAAACAGAGGGGAGUUCGAAAGAUUCCAGGGUCAAGUUCAGUACUCAUGAAUGGAAAGGUUCAUGAAUUCCUUGUGGGGAAGGAAAUGAAUGUUAAAUACAGUGUUGAGGUUUGUACCAAGAUAGAGGAGGUUGUCUCUAGGUUGAAAUUGGAAGGAUACAAACCUGAUUUGUCUCAAGUCCUUUUGGAUAUUGAGGAGGAAAGCAAAGAGGACUCACUUAUUCUACACAGCGAGAAGAUGGCCCUUGCAUUUGGACUAAUAAACACAAGCAAGGGUUCUCCUAUUCACAUAGUGAAGAACUUAAGGAUUUGUUGUGAUUGUCAUUCAUUUAUCAAGCUGGUUUCUGGAGUUUAUAAUUGUCGAAUUGUUGUGAGAGACCAAAACCGUUUCCAUCAAUUUGAGAAUGGUUCCUGUUCCUGCAAAGACUUCUGGUAAUGCAGUGGCUUACUUCGAAUAAUUGAAUGAAUGGGCAGGUUUUUGUAGCCUUCAAGAGUCAGGACUACAUAAUUCAUGUAUCUAGUCUAUGAAGUUGUAAAGCUGCAUCAUCCUGCAUGUGGAAGAAUCAAGCUCAAUGGGCAGGUUUCAGUCUCAAUCUUUGGCAUUAGGAAUGCAGACUACAUUAGCAUCUCUUCAAAUUCCCCUGGAAAGGAGGGUGGCUCAAUUAUCACUAAUAUGUGCAUUUAGAGGGAAAGCAAAUUUCUUUCUUUCUUUUUCUUCACGAGCAUCCCAGUAAAUGCCAAACUAUACGCAACCCCACAAAUUGAUAGGUGGGCUGCGGGCACAACAUCAUCGUGUUUUGCACGUCUGAUCCUCUUGACUUCUUGAUGGAAAGAUGAAUAAAACAAACAAAAAAGAAAAAAUCUUGGCACUAUUAUUGCAUGUGAGUUUGUGGCUCACGUCUUCUCGUGGAUUUUCUUCACUUGUUCGGACUAGUGACUGUUAAGUGGGGAAUUGUUAGGUGAGAUGAUCAAGUGAGCGAAGUCUCAGCAACAGAAGGAACAUUAGUCAGCUAGUCUCACUUCGUCCCAAUUUUUCAGCAGGUGGUUUGAGCUGCCUCAGCCGGGGAUCACAGUCACCAGAGGAACAAGAGAGCCAGACCCUUUUCAACUUUCAGGUA
Molecule: RNA transcript, 2692 nt
Organism: Rosa chinensis
Lineage: Eukaryota; Viridiplantae; Streptophyta; Magnoliopsida; Rosales; Rosaceae
Exons: 3
Source: RefSeq, a predicted model, not a curated record